GGCCGGUUAGCUCAGUUGGUUAGAGCGUCGUGCUAAUAACGCGAAGGUCGCGGGUUCAAUACCCGUACUGGCCA
This is a non-coding RNA of Trematomus bernacchii (emerald rockcod), 74 nucleotides long. Lineage: Eukaryota; Metazoa; Chordata; Actinopteri; Perciformes; Nototheniidae. The record is from the annotation of a RefSeq genome assembly.